This 1925-nucleotide long non-coding RNA is filed under the name Triticum aestivum (bread wheat). RNAcentral describes it as "long non-coding RNA (TAES_LNC006595)". Lineage: Eukaryota; Viridiplantae; Streptophyta; Magnoliopsida; Poales; Poaceae. The record is from RNAcentral.
UCAACUAAUAGCUAAGCACACUAACAUGCUUGAUAUUCCCGAUCUAUUUGUACGUGUUUGAUGUUUAGGCACUAAGGCACAUGCAAAACAGGGGAGCAACAAGUCCAGGCAGUUGCCAAAGGUGAGGGCACACAUAAUGUGUGCCGCAAUGUUCGGCAUCUCCCUCAUCCAAUUCGCCAAACAAACAUCAAAACCAAUAACAGAUUUCUGAUUUAUUCCCUCCUUCUCGAUGUAAGCAGACCUUUCCAAUGCAUUUCUUUUCUUGUAUGUAAACCAGAUUCACAUGGCUUGGAUAUGCAAUUGCUUGAUAUUGUUGUCAUUACAUGGACGCUCUUGUGGCCUCAUGGGUAAAGUGUAGACUCUAAUCAGGUGAUUCGAGUACCAUGAAAUGUGAUUACUUCUGUGCUGCCUAUGACCAUGUAACGUAACUUACAGAUCUGAAGUUAUUUUUUUAUCCUUAUAUAUUUGAUUCUCUGUCUAUGGGCAUUUUUCUUUUUGAGUGCUUGCGCAGCUAAUUGAAACCCCAAUAGAAAAUUUCAAAGACUACAUUAAGGUAUAUGCUCAGCUCUUUAUGUUCAUUUUGAAUUUCUCAUGUUUUAUGGUGGAGGUUUUUAUAUGUAAUUCUCUGAUUACACUCCGCAAACAUGCAUUAGUUGUCAAUAUCGUUAGCUGUCCACACUAGAAACUUACCUUAGUAGUGCACUUCUAUGUAAUAACAACAAUGCUGCUGGACAGGUCCUUUCACCUGGACCCAUCAGUUUUCUACAUCUCAAGAAAUCUGAAUAUCAAGUUUUCAAACUUGAGUACCUGAAUUUCAUUUGUCCAAAUGAGAAUUGUGUAAGUCGUACAAACUUCCUAUGAUUUGUUUACCCAAUUCAUCUUACAGAUAUCCUAUCUAGGGAGAAAAUAUACAACCCAUUGUUACAUUAAUGAUGCUAGCAUCACAUAGGAGGUUGUUCAUGUCAUCCAAAAUUGCUACAAGAAUCUAAAGCCCAAUUGAAAUCAUUUUUUACCCAAACUGCAACUACACUGUAGCUUCUUUUCGGAGCUCUACACAUGUUCGUACUGUCCUAUCGAAGUUGGUGUACUAAGAUAUUAAUUAGUGAGUACUGCUAAACAUGCACUGUGUUAUACGUAAAUUAGCUGCAUGCCAUGUUGAGCACUUGCUUUCUUGGUUCUUAGUUUCAGGUUUUGUUGCCUGGUUCUAUUAUUUUUUGAAUAAUGCUAUUAAGAUGCAGUCGUGUCACUUUGCCUCUAAUAUUUCUACACAUCUUUAUUUUCUCUACCCGCGUGCUCCUAUUCUAAGUGAUCUCUAUGUUAGCUUCAAGGUCAACCUUAACAGUCAAUGGGAGGUUUAUCCCUAAUAAUAAAAUGUAAAUUAGGAAAAUGGAAAUAUAGCAAAUCUUGUUUGUUUAGGUAAGCAAUGUCAUGACUUGAAUACCAAAAGUGUUUAAGUCCAAGGUUGUUUUGUGUGUAGGCUCACCUGAGUGCAAUUAUCAUCUAUGUCUAUGGAUAGUUUGGAAAGGCUACAAUGGGGUUGCUCAGAGUAAGUUUUGCAUUGGUGUUAUACUGUUAGUACAUUGGCAUGUAAAAUAUUUUGUCUUGUGAUGUUUGGUAUUAAAUCACAUUUCCUUUCUCCUCUGCUAUAUUGCAGGGUUCAAGGCUUCCUGACAGGUGACCAUAACCAUUGUUCAUGAAACUACUUAUUGCUCUUGACGAAAGCGAUGCUGAAGGAUCAAGGGUUCAAUCAAGACGUAUUAGUUACCUUGACCAUUUUGUAUAUCUUUCGAUUUCUUCAGUUAAAAGGCCAUCGAUUACUGAAUUGUGUCUACUAUGCUACAAUGAAUUAUGAUUUGUAUAUUGGUAAUGUAGACAAAUGAAUUCUAUCAGAAAAGGUGGACAAAUGAAUUCCACAACUACGUGAG